This 383-nucleotide ribosomal RNA is filed under the name uncultured Alphaproteobacteria bacterium. RNAcentral's name for it is "bacterial SSU rRNA". It matches the Rfam family "Bacterial small subunit ribosomal RNA", at positions 1034 to 1419 of the family's 1533-position model. Lineage: Bacteria; Pseudomonadati; Pseudomonadota; Alphaproteobacteria. The record is from RNAcentral.
ACAGGUGCUGCAUGGCUGUCGUCAGCUCGUGUCGUGAGAUGUUGGGUUAAGUCCCGCAACGAGCGCAACCCUCGCCCUUAGUUACCAGCAUUUAGUUGGGUACUCUAGGGGGACUGCCGGUGACAAGCCGGAGGAAGGUGGGGAUGACGUCAAGUCCUCAUGGCCCUUAUGGGCUGGGCUACACACGUGCUACAAUGGCGGUGACAGUGGGUUGCGAUCCCGCGAGGGUGAGCUAAUCUCCAAAAGCCGUCUCAGUUCGGAUUGUUCUCUGCAACUCGAGAGCAUGAAGUUGGAAUCGCUAGUAAUCGCGUAUCAGCAUGACGCGGUGAAUACGUUCCCGGGCCUUGUACACACCGCCCGUCACACCAUGGGAGUUGGUUUUA